CUUAAAGCUGGAUUGGGUCUGGGAGCAUCCAGAGUAGCACGGGACACGUGAAACCCCGUGUGAAUGAGCGCCGACCACGGCGUAAGGCUAAAUACUCGGUGUCGACCGAUAGUGAACAAGUACCGUGAGGGAAAGGUGAAAAGAACCCCUGUUAGGGGAGUGAAAAAGUACCUGAAACCAAUUGCCUACAAUCAGUCGAAGCACCGCAAGGUGUGACGGCGUACCUUUUGUAUAAUGGGCCUAGGAGUUAUUGUUUGUGGCGAGCUUAAGUGUUUAAGGCACGUAGGCGUAGGGAAACCGAGUCUGAAUAGGGCGAGUAAAGUCGCAGGCAAUAGACCCGAAGCGGAGGUGAUCUAUCCAUGGCCAGGUUGAAGCUUUAGUAAAAUAAAGUGGAGGACCGAACCGGUCACUCUUGAGAAAGUGUCGGAUGAGCUGUGGAUCGGAGCGAAAGACUAAUCAAACCCCGCGAUAGCUGGUUCUUUCCGAAAUAUAUUUAGGUAUAGCCUCGUUGCGCUGAUGACUGGGGGUAGAGCACUGAAAAGGCAAGGGCCCAUACCCGGGUACCAACCCUUACCAAACUCCGAAUACCAGUCAAAGAAGCACGGGAGUCAGACUGUGGGGGAUAAGCUUCAUAGUCGAGAGGGAAACAGCCCAGACCACCAUUUAAGGCCCCUAAACAAUGCUAAGUGGAAAAGGAUGUGAAUUUACACAGACAAUAGGGAUGUUGGCUUAGAGGCAGCCACCAUUUAAACAGUGCGUAAUAGCUGACCUAUCGAGUGAAUUUGCGCCGAAGAUGAUCGGGACUAAGCAUUGUGCCGAAGAUGUGGGCUUGCAGAAAUGUGAGCGGUAGGAAAGCGUUCCUGAGCCAUUGAAGCCAAAGCCGACAAGGCAUGGUGGAGGGUCAGGAAGUGAAAAUCUAGGCUUGAGUAACGAUAAAACCGGUUAGAAUCCGGUUCGCCGUAAGGAUAAGGUUUCCCGGGCAAGGUUCGUCCGCCCGGGGUUAGUCGGGAGCUAAGGCGAGGCCGUAAGGAGUAGUCGAUGCAAAGCAGGUUAAUAUUCCUGCACCAAGUGAAGAGGACGAAGGGUGAAAGCGCACUAUCUUAUUGAAUUGGGACUCCGAGGCUACGGCCGAGGGGGUAUGCGUGGAAGCACUUCCAGGAAAAGCCUUCACAAUAAAGCCCGUACCGCAAACCGACACAGGUAUCCGGGAAGAAUAUUCUCAGGCGCGUGAGUUAAAUCUCCCUAAGGAACUCGGCAAAUUGGCCCUGUAUCUUCGGUAAAAAGGGUGCCCCGCGAGGGGCCGCAGUGAAAAAGGCCAACCGACUGUUUAGCAAAAACACAGCUCUCUGCAAACACGCAAGUGGACGUAUAGGGAGUGACACGUGACCAAUGCGGAAAGGUGAAAGCUGGCGGUGCAAGCCUCUGGUCUAAGCCUCCGUGAAUGUCGGCCGUAACUAUAACGGUCCUAAGGUAGCGAAAUUCCUUGUCGGGUAAGUUCCGACCUGCACGAAU
Molecule: ribosomal RNA, 1512 nt
Filed under: bioreactor metagenome
Description: bacterial LSU rRNA
Rfam family: Bacterial large subunit ribosomal RNA
Source: RNAcentral